UACGUAGGUGGCAAGCGUUGUCCGGAUUUACUGGGCGUAAAGAGCGCGCAGGCGGUCGUUCAAGUCGCGUGUGAAAGCCCCCGGCUCAACUGGGGAGGGUCACGCGAUACUGAUCGACUCGAAGGCAGGAGAGGGUAGUGGAAUUCCUGGUGUAGCGGUGAAAUGCGUAGAUAUCAGGAGGAACACCGGUGGUGUAGACGGCUUUCUGGACCGUAACUGACGCUGAGACACGAAAGCGUGGGUAGCAAACAGG
This 253-nucleotide ribosomal RNA is filed under the name uncultured bacterium. RNAcentral describes it as "partial 16S ribosomal RNA". It matches the Rfam family "Bacterial small subunit ribosomal RNA", at positions 524 to 776 of the family's 1533-position model. The record is from RNAcentral.